This 1091-nucleotide long non-coding RNA is filed under the name Heterocephalus glaber (naked mole-rat). RNAcentral describes it as "lncRNA (ENSHGLG00000040194.1)". Lineage: Eukaryota; Metazoa; Chordata; Mammalia; Rodentia; Bathyergidae. The record is from RNAcentral.
UUCAGGGGCUGUGGGCGGGGACUGAGGGGGUGUGUGCUUGAGUGUGCGCAGAAGGCUCCACCCUCCUGGGCACAUCUGGCCACUCCUGCAGAUGUGGCUCUGGCCUGGUGGCCUCAGAGUCGUCAGCAUGGCUGACGGGAAACCACUGAGGAAUGUGCCAGCCGCCUCUGGGAGCAGCAUUUGUUGGAGGCAGACACCAGUCAGGCUCCCCAGACACACACACACACACACACACACACACACACACACGCACCCGCCGCCUGGGGGCCGCCUCCUCGCCCUGCUUCCUGUCCCCUCCCCCUGCACAGCUGCUGUUUGGCUUGCUCUCUAUAUAGCGGGGUAUUCAGGGUAAUCACAAUAAAACUGUUGAGAAGAGAUAAUGCAGCAGAGGAAGCUAGGCUGGCUCCCAGCUCCCUCUGUCCCUUCCCCCAUUUCCAUCCCAGCUCUCCUGCCCCUGCCCUGCCAGUGGAGGUGGAGAGGGUGGGGUGAGCAGGUGGUGCCCCCAGCUCUGGAGCCAGCCUCUGUGCCUCAGUUUGUCUGGUGUUGUAGCCUUUGGCAGGGGAGUGGCGUUGUGAGGUCCAGAGAAGGCACAGGAAAGUGAGCAAGGCGCAGGGUUUGUCUUCGUAGCCUGGUUCUUCAGCCUCUCGGCUGGGUCUGUCACGUUCUCUAGGCCUCAGUUUCCUCGUCUGUGAGGGGGGCAGCAGCAGUGCUCAGGCAGUGACUGCACGCCCAGUGUCUGGCCGAUCCCUGCCCACCGGCCACUGCGCUCCUCCCCCUGCUCCUCCCCGGCUGCCGCCUCUUCCUUCUCUUCAGCCUCUUUUCAGACAGGGUCUUAGCCCAGGCUGGCCCUGACCUCACAGCCUCCCUCCCGCCUGAGGCUCCCGAGUGCUGGGGCCAGAGCCCGGGGCCUGCACUUGCCCAGCAGCGCUGUGCCCCCAGCUGUGCACCCCUCGCACGCCUCCCUCCCCAAGUCCCGGGUGCAGUCUCCUCACUGGGUGGAUGGCAGUGUCCGGCACGUGUCCUGAUGCCCAUGCUGCACUCGGGGCCCGGUCGCCCUGCCUGGUGCCCACUGAACAUUUUCCUCUUGUUUG